Molecule: long non-coding RNA, 376 nt
Organism: Cyanistes caeruleus (blue tit)
Lineage: Eukaryota; Metazoa; Chordata; Aves; Passeriformes; Paridae
Source: RefSeq, a predicted model, not a curated record
GAGGGUAACAAAUGGCAUCGUGACUCACCACUGAGCAGAGAGCAGGUUCAAUGAGAGAAUGGACAUGAAUGCAGUGAAACUGGAAAAAGAGCAUCACGCUUCUGGGAGAAGUUUCAUGGGUGUGAUCUGGAAGAUGGUCUGAGCACUGCAGGGAAUGGUCAGAGAAAACAGCCACACUCCAUUUGUGCUGUGUUUUUCACAUCAGAGUCCUCCCAUAGCCAGCACACACUUCAAGUGACAGGAUUUCACCCUCAGCCUUCAGCAAACUGAAGGCAUACAUGUUGCUUGUAUAAAACCUUCAAUUUUCCCCACCCACAUUUACAAUGGCACUUGCAGAAGAGAAAUAACAAAAUGAAGCAGGAGCACCUGUUCCUAG